GGUUGUAGCUCAGUGGUAGAGCACUUGCCUAGCAUGUGUGAGGCCCUGGGUUAGAGCCCCACCACCA
RNAcentral lists this transfer RNA (67 nucleotides) under Marmota monax (woodchuck). RNAcentral describes it as "tRNA.Ala". Lineage: Eukaryota; Metazoa; Chordata; Mammalia; Rodentia; Sciuridae. The record is from RNAcentral.